Molecule: microRNA precursor, 100 nt
Organism: Nicotiana attenuata
Lineage: Eukaryota; Viridiplantae; Streptophyta; Magnoliopsida; Solanales; Solanaceae
Source: Rfam
AUGCAUACGAGAUAUUGGUGCGGUUCAAUUAGAAAGUCGAGUUCUUUUUGUUUAGAACUUUGUUAUUUGAUUGAGCCGCGCCAAUAUCACGUAUAUUAGU